Small nucleolar RNA from Talpa occidentalis (Iberian mole), 126 nucleotides. RefSeq annotates it as small nucleolar RNA SNORA51. Lineage: Eukaryota; Metazoa; Chordata; Mammalia; Eulipotyphla; Talpidae. The record is from RefSeq and is a predicted model, not a curated record. The transcript has a single exon.
GGCCUUCUGGCGCUCACCACAGGCUGUUUUUAUAUGGACUAUAUAGAAAAGGGAGGCAAAGUAAACCCAUAUACUCCCCAGCCCAGGGCCCUUGUCUGGUCUGUAUUGUGAAUGUGGGGGAGGUGG